GGGGACUGCACAUGUGUUCAGGAGCUUGAGAGUGAGAAUUGUGAGCAUGUACACUCCUUAGUGUUUAUGCAUCAGGGUGUGAUGCAUAAACACGAAGGCUCUGUAGCCUUUGAAGAACAGGAUCAGAUCUGGGUUUGAAUCACAAGACCAUGGGUUUUCAGUUGGGCAAUAAACUUAUCUGUCUUUUGCUUUGAUUUUCUCAUCUAGAAAACGGGCACUUGGUCACCAGCCUGACCCAUAGGCAAUGCUUGGUGGAAAAUGACCUUAUCAAAUUAAAGGGUUGUGACCGUGGGUGCUUAUGGUUCAGGGAGGUAGGCCUGGACAGUGAGACAUCUUUCUUGGAUUCCUGUACAUGCUAGAGGUUUGCCCUCCUUUGAGCUGGGCUAGCUCCUGGGACAUCCAGGGACCUGGGGAAGACUGGCUGGGCCCUUUUGCAGCCUAUGGCUCACAUGCCCACUUGUUAAGGCCUGCAAGAGUGUGCCCACAAACAGGGUGAGCAGGCAGAAUAAUGGCCAUGGCUAGCCAGACUGUGUGUCCUUGCCCAGUGUCUGUCUGUCCUUCCCCUUACCUUGGGGGACAAAAGGGAAUCCAGUUGUCCUGCCUGGUGAAUAAAAGCCUGGGGUUGGGGGAGGAUUUGCCUCCAGCCACGGAGGAGGGGUAUGCUGUGGAAGGAGGCCAGAUCUCCCCCAGCUGUUUCCCAGCUCUGUUUGAAGGGGAAGGGAGAGGGAUAAAUGACUGGGUGAUUGUGGCACCUACAGCCAGCAUCUUUCCUCUCCACAUUCUAGGUCACAGGCCCACACCUCUCUCCCUAGUCAAAGAGAGCCUCUGUGAGGGGGUUGAAGGGUGUCUUGGAUCUGUGGGCAGGACUUGGGAUCUGGGCACAGAGAGGUUGGGGAAUUAACAAAGGUCACACAGCCAGGCAAAACUAGGGAAUGUGGGGAGUCAUUCUAGACAGGACCUUUAGGGGGAGCUCCCUGGC
Molecule: long non-coding RNA, 979 nt
Filed under: Homo sapiens (human)
Lineage: Eukaryota; Metazoa; Chordata; Mammalia; Primates; Hominidae
Description: long non-coding RNA NONHSAT203293.1
Source: RNAcentral